CUACUCACAAAUGCGGCUCUCAAAUGCAGAGAAAAAAAAACGCUUUAGGACAAGUUAUAGACCAAAAACAAUUUAAAAAACAUUUUCAUUUAGUUAAAGAUGGAACAAGAAAUGUUCUUCAAGAAUUCAGCCUUCUCAGGAACAAGACUUACAAAUACUCUCUUCUGGUGAUGAGGAAGAAGAUAUGUCACAAACAGCAUCUCUAGUAGCAGUACAGCAUAUCAAGAAAUACCCUGCAUGUAGAGAUAAAACAUGUAAACUUAUAUGCAGAAGAUCAUUGUUGUUACUAUAGUUUUAAUGAAAGUUAUAAAAUAGCUGUUAUGAA
Long non-coding RNA from Actinia tenebrosa (Australian red waratah sea anemone), 325 nucleotides. RefSeq lists it as uncharacterized. NCBI's taxonomy places the organism in Eukaryota, Metazoa, Cnidaria, Anthozoa, Actiniaria, Actiniidae. The record is from RefSeq and is a predicted model, not a curated record.